UCCAGGGGAAGGGGGCGCGGUGGGGGACUUCUGAAGGGGCCAGACGUUCUUAGAUGUGGCAGUGGUCUGGGACCCCAAGAAUCAGCCCCGCAGGGGAAAGCUUAUUCCUCAGUGUUUCAUUUCUCCCUUUUAAUUUCGUUUUCUCCCUUCCUUGGGGUGGUGGGUGGGGGUCAUGGAGAGUGGCUGGGGACCAGGAGACUGAUCCUUUCCUUGCUGUUGAAAUUUCAGGUGUCAUUUCUACCCUGCUCACCUCACCUCAUCCUAGUCUCGUUUUCUCCUUUGCACGUUAAGGCAGUGCCCAGCACCCCAGCCCAGCCCAGCCUGGGAGGUGGGAGAUGUGGGGCACUUCCUUCCAUGCCUUUCCACCCUGACUGGACUGUGAACUCAUUCAGGGCAGAAAACACAUUUUAUGGACAUUUGAUGUGGAGCCCUGUCACGCGCCCUACACAACGGGGUGCGAGGGGUCCUCGGUAAAUACCCACGAGGACCCUUGGUCUACCAGAGCCGAAGGUGUAAGCACUGCUGGUUAAACAAUCUUUUGAACAGCUUUGAUGUUAGGACCUACAGAAUUAUGCUGCCUUAUUUAGCCUUGGUUAAAUAGUAAGUGAAUUUUAAAAGGGAAGUUUUUCUCAGGAUUGUCCAUUGUUACUGUUCUGUCUCCUCGUGGAGGUGUUCUUAUAGCCCCUGCUCCCUCAUGGCAGCGAUUCGUAGAGGUGUUACCUGUGCGUGUGAAAAGGUAGAGCAGAGUGUCCUCGGCGCCUGUCCUACUUGGCAAACGGGAUCAAACCAGCAUGCCUGCCUUUGCCAGACAGAAGCUCUGCGGGUCUGUCUGCCCCAAAGGGACAGAUCCAUUUUAAACUCCUCAGUUUGUAUUAAUUUCGAAUUAAGGAUUCUGUGUGGUGACAGUCUUAUCAAGGAUGGCUUGAUACCAGUUGAUCUGGUAGGGACAGCAAAUUACAAAACAAUUGCUUUCACACACUCCAGUGACUUUUAUAAAAAUUGUGAUGAAAAGUUAAUUUUUGCUGCCUUUUGAUUAAAAGCGUCCAUUCUUUCCCCCCUUGAUGCUUAAAAUGGACAUGAGUCAUAACUGCCUGCUUGAAGAGAAAAGCUUUAUAUUGCAAGUAAAUUGGUCUUUUCCCUCCUUCUUCCACCCAGUUUUGGUUCAUGGUGCACAAAGGUUUAAAAUUUUUAUGCUCCUGUUUUCUUUUGGCUUUUUAAUUCUUACUAAUGACUGACUAGAACUUAGAUAAUUUUAGCUUUAGUGACUUAAAAUGCUGUGCUAAGAAAUGUCCUCAUGGGACUUAAAAAUAUGUCACCUGUAACUUCUCAACAUGUAUCUGUCUUAUGUGUUCUGAUCAUUUGAUCAGUUAGGAAUUUUGCAAAUUGACUUCUGACAACCCAUGCACUCUCACCUAAUUGUGGAACUUAAUUCUAAAUGCCCUUUUACACUUUUUGUUUUUCAAUCAGGAAAAAGGCCAGUGUCUUAUCAACACUUAUCUAGCAGCAUGCUACAAAAGCGGAACUAUGAGAAUUUUAUUGGGAAUGCACAUUAUCGACCAAAUGACAAAAAAACUUGAUUUUUCUAUUUUGGGGAUGAAAGGUCUUGAUGGAUGUGUACUCUCCAUGAAAUUAAAUUAGUUCAUCUUUUGAAAAAGAAAAUGGUGAAAGCUACUGAAAUAAGCUGUGAUUGUACUGUAAAUAUAACAUAUAAGGAACACUACGGUUUUGUAAAGUUGUUCUGUUAAUUUUUGUACCAAAUAGCAAUAAAAACUAUAGUUGAAACAGUUGGGUUGUACACAGAUGGAGACCAGACAUCUCUAUUUUGCCCCAAAUAAUAUUUUUUUUUAGAAUUGACCAAAUAAGAAAUGGAAUUUUUUGCAUACUUGAGCGCUGCUGAAAAGAAAUCAUUUGGGUUGGGGGGGUGGGGCGGGGAGAAAGUAUAUAACGCUUGCACCUCAGGUAAAAAUCUGUAAAUAUAUGUUGUAAACCUGCUUGUUUAAAUACUGUGUGUAUUCUUUUUCUCUAAUGUAGCUCAUCACUUUGAGCAAGUUUCUGCUAUUUGUCCUCUUUCAUUUAAAAUGUAUGUUUCUAAAAAAAAAAUUUCAAUGAUUUGUAUAAUGUUAAAUCCUCCACAGUCUAUUGUCUUUGACAAAAUUGUUAACUGAAGCAUCGACCUAUGAUACGUGCUGCGUGAUCGAGGUCAGCCGUUCUGACCUGGGUGCCCUUUACUGCAAAUUUCAGGGCAUCAUCCGAGAAGGACCUCGAUCCACCAUCCUUUUCUGAGUAAAUGGGUGGUUUGUGGGAUUUUUAAGUGCGUGUGUCUACAGAGAAGUAUUCCUUCUGUAGGCCAGCUACACGUUCAGUAAACAUACCACAUUGUAUGUAGAGUUACUUAAAUUUGUUUUCUAUCAAGUUAAUCAUUUCUGUUGGAAAAUUCGUGGGGUUUUUUUUGGCGUUUGCCUAAAUUAGUACAUUAAAAAAUAUAAACGCUGAACUAUACAUGUGAAUUACAUACAUUGGAAGCAAUUUUAAAGGAAACGAGGGUGAAUUUUAGGUUUGUAUUUGGAGGGCUGGGUGCGCCUGGCAUUUGGGUUAACUGUGGACACACUCAAGUUAAUCACGGGCACGUCAGUUCUGCACCAGGAGUGGUGCCCGGGGAAGAGGGACUCAGUUCUGAGACCUCAGUUGUCUUCCCAGGGUUGGCUGGUUUGAAGCAGCGUUUUUGUCAGUGUACAAGCAAUUUGGGUUUUUAAAAGAGAGGAUAGCCACCAGCCGGCUUACUAAAUGUUUUAAACUUUUGUUCCUUUAAUCCUCUGUCCACGGCUGAGUGUAUUCAGCAGUACCUGGGUUUAGCGACCACAAAAUAUACUUUAUGAAGAAACUGUAUCAAAAUAAAUUUGCACUGUUAAUUUGUCUUGCCCGGCCCUUCUCCAUCAGAGGAAGGGUAAUGUCCUAAAAGAAUCCUGAUUUUUUUUGUUUGUUUUCAUUAUGCAACAUGACGCCUACUUGAUAGAGAAGUCUUAACUCCCGUGGGCAAAGGGAGGCCUAAUUGGAGAACAGUCUUCUGGCAUCGCGAUGAAGUGCUUUGUAUCAGGAAAGUGUACACUAUUUACUUUUUUCCUGUCCACAAGCUGAGCCAUAUGUACAUAAUCUAGAUGUUUGUUUUCAUAGUUUUGCACUUUUAUAGCCUAUUUUUGAAGAUUAACACAUUUACAAGAUAAUUGACCUGAUCUUGACCUAAUCCAGUGAGUGUUCCAGACAGCUUGCUGUGACUAUAAAUAUAAAUCCUAAAAGUGGAUACAUGAUAAUAGAGGGCUGAAAUUUAAAUCUGUAUUUAAAAAAAAAAAUCACCAAAUCUAUUUGAAAACAAGUCAAUUCGUGUUUUGCUGAAAUUUGGGGGCUUUUAGAUUUCUCCUUUUUAACUACGUUUCUGAAUGCAUACAGAUGUCAGUUUUUUUUUUUCCCCCACAGUCCUUGUUCUCCAAAAUAUAUUUUUUUGGUCCAUCAGUAUUAACUAUUGGGAUACUACUGGUUUUGUGUAUUUUUUUUUUUCCUUUGAGACAACAGUACAUAUAAUAGAGGUACAAUCCUUUGGAUUUUUUGUUUAUGUAUUUAUUUCAUUCCAGUUUGAUUUAUUUUAAUUGUUGAUACUUAAGUUGUCAAACUGUAGACAUUACUUGUUUUAUUUAUGAUAUAUUUCAGCUUAAAGUUAUGUUAUUAUAUGUGGAUGUAAAUAUAGAUUUGGUGUUUUGCAGUCUU
Non-coding RNA from Vicugna pacos (alpaca), 3759 nucleotides. The record is from RefSeq and is a predicted model, not a curated record. NCBI's taxonomy places the organism in Eukaryota, Metazoa, Chordata, Mammalia, Artiodactyla, Camelidae.